Long non-coding RNA from Peromyscus eremicus (cactus mouse), 769 nucleotides. RefSeq lists it as uncharacterized. The transcript is spliced from 2 exons. Lineage: Eukaryota; Metazoa; Chordata; Mammalia; Rodentia; Cricetidae. The record is from RefSeq and is a predicted model, not a curated record.
AGCAGCAGCUCAAGAGACUGGCAAGGUGGGGGUGGGGUUAAUACAGCAGGAUUACUUAGGUGGCUUUCCAAUGAGGGCGGUGUGUAGUUUAUUUUCAUCUCAUACUUUUCCUUUAAACAUUCCCUUUAAAUAUUUAAGUUGUAGGAAUGUGUUUCUACCCUGCUGGCCUUAGUGGGUGUCAGUCUUUUGGCCACAGUUAUCUGCAACUUCGAAGAUGUGGUCAAGCCAGGAUGGAGUCCCCAUAAACUUGACUUUGCUGGAGACCCGGAGUACCAGGCCGAGCUUGUGCUGUGUGAUGUAAGGCAGGAGCUAUGUUAUCCUGAGGUUGAAGCCAGUGAGAAGAAAGCUGAUUGAAUCCAGAAGACAAAAAAGAAUGACUGGCUUCCAUUUGUAUGGUGCCCAACUGUUUGGGGCCAUUUGUAAUGUCCAUGCAGUAUUCUUAUAACUUGAUGACAAUAUUUCAGGUGAUACAGUUAAAGGCCCAUUGCAGUUAAAUUACUCAGCCAAGGUCGCAAGGCAGCAGGGGGCAGGCCAGAACUGAAGCCGGAGGUUCUUGCCUUCUUUUCUACCCUUCUUGUGAGGAGAGGGCUGUCUUAUAUGCCCUACAUGGGAGGCUUAGGUGUGUGGACGGUUUAAGUUUCCAUCAGAAGUGGUUACACCGGGGUUUCAUGAAGAAGUGAGCUUUGAACCACCAGCUCCGAAGUCACAGCUUAUUCUCUAAGAAAUUAAAGAUAUUUGUUAAGAAAUAAAAAGCAUUAGUUUCCCUUAA